Molecule: ribosomal RNA, 512 nt
Filed under: uncultured bacterium
Lineage: Bacteria
Description: bacterial SSU rRNA
Rfam family: Bacterial small subunit ribosomal RNA
Source: RNAcentral
UAGUCCUAGCUGUAAACGGUGCGCACUUGGUGUUGAGGGUAUUGACCCCCUCAGUGCCGGAGCUAACGCGUUAAGUGCGCCGCCUGGGGAGUACGGCCGCAAGGUUAAAACUCAAAGAAAUUGACGGGGGCCCGCACAAGCGGAGGAGCAUGUGGCUUAAUUCGAUGCAACGCGAAGAACCUUACCAGGGCUCGACAUAUACCUGCACGCCCGCCGAAAGGUGGGAAGCUUUCGAAGGUGGUAUACAGGUGCUGCAUGGCUGUCGUCAGUUCGUGCCGUGAGGUGUUGGGUUAAGUCCCGCAACGAACGCAACCCCUGUGUCUAGUUGCCACCGUAGGUGAUGAGCCUGCGAGCACUCUAGACAGACUGCCUGUACAAGCAGGAGGAAGGUGGGGACGACGUCAAGUCAGUAUGGCCCUUACGCCCUGGGCUGCACACGUGCUACAAUGGUCGGUACAGAAGGAUGCAAUACCGCGAGGUUGAGCAAAUCCCCAAAACCGGCCUCAGUUCGG